Rana temporaria (common frog) is the source of this 665-nucleotide long non-coding RNA. RefSeq lists it as uncharacterized. The record is from RefSeq and is a predicted model, not a curated record. NCBI's taxonomy places the organism in Eukaryota, Metazoa, Chordata, Amphibia, Anura, Ranidae. The transcript is spliced from 4 exons.
GAUCCGAUGGAAGUGAUGUCAGGGGUCAUUGUGACCCUUCACUUCCGGGUCGCCCUGGUCAUUUAACCACCAGCGUGUGGAGAGUAUUCAAACACGCCGGGGAUACAGAGACAUACAGACAUCCAGGGGAGGACUCCUAAAGCUUACACUCACCAAGGUUCUGGGACUACCUUCAACAUACUGACCUAUCUAUCAUAGCCCCCUAGGGGACUGGUCUCCCCAGAAAUCUGUGUCCAUUACCUGCCCCUAUGAUUAUCUAGGUGGUUUUAAGUGCAAUAGCAGAUUUCUUUGCUAUACCUACCUGCCAAAAUCACCAGGGGAACGACUUCACUAUAAACCCUGCGGUUCUGACUCCCGCAGGGGGUUAAGCUGCAGCUCGGACAAGCUUCCACCUUGUGACCAUUUCUAUCUCCUCCCCCCCCCUUGUUGUAUCCCAUUUGUCUUCGCUGACAUGGUUUGUUAUUCCACAAUUGUUGAUGAGAAUGUAUUGUAGAUGAAUGCGGCGCCCAGAAGACGCUCCCUUUUGCGAAACAUGUUGGCGACUAGCAUCUAACUCAUCUAACUUUCAUGUGCAUCUCGUCUGUAACAGGGCAACCAAUGAUUUUAUCAUUGCAUUCUAAAUGUUUUCUUUUAUGUAUUUAAAUACAUUUUGAUAUUUUUCUAUA